This 195-nucleotide unclassified non-coding RNA is filed under the name uncultured fungus. RNAcentral describes it as "sequence contains ITS1". The record is from RNAcentral. Lineage: Eukaryota; Fungi.
UUGAUUCAUUUUUCUUGUGAGACUCAGAGGAUGCCACUAUGGUUUAAACAAGGGUUUGGGUCCUCCGGCGGGCGCCUGGUUCCGGGCCGCAGUGGGCGCCGGGGCGGUCCCGCCGAGGCAACGUUCGGGUAUGUUCACAGGGGUUUGGGAGUUGAUAACUCGGUAAUGAUCCCUCCGCUGGUUCACCAACGGAGA